RNAcentral lists this unclassified non-coding RNA (332 nucleotides) under soil metagenome. RNAcentral describes it as "partial contains 5.8S ribosomal RNA, internal transcribed spacer 2, and large subunit ribosomal RNA". The stretch from base 1 to 120 matches the Rfam family "5.8S ribosomal RNA", at positions 35 to 154 of the family's 154-position model. The record is from RNAcentral.
GAUGAAGAACGUAGCAAAAUGCGAUAAGUAAUGUGAAUUGCAGAAUUCAGUGAAUCAUCGAAUCUUUGAACGCACAUUGCGCCCGCCAGUAUUCUGGCGGGCAUGCCUGUUCGAGCGUCAUUUCAACCCUCAAGCACAGCUUGGUGUUGGGACUCGCGUUAAUUCGCGUUCCCCAAAUUGAUUGGCGGUCACGUCGAGCUUCCAUAGCGUAGUAGUAAAACCCUCGUUUCUGGUAAUCGUCGCGGCCACGCCGUUAAACCCCAACUUCUGAAUGUUGACCUCGGAUCAGGUAGGAAUACCCGCUGAACUUAAGCAUAUCAAUAAGCGGAGGA